GACGAAGGAUGCAAGCGUUAUCCGGAUUCAUUGGGUUUAAAGGGAGCGUAGGUGGUCUUCUAAGUCAGUGGUGAAAUCUCUCGGCUUAACUGAGAAAUUGCCAUUGAUACUGGGAGACUUGAGUGUAGUUCCGUUGGCGGAAUAUGACAUGUAGUGGUGAAAUACAUAGAGAUGUCAUAGAACACCGAUUGCGAAGGCAGCUAACGAAACUAUAACUGACACUGAGGCUCGAAAGUGCGGGGAUCAAACAGG
This 252-nucleotide ribosomal RNA is filed under the name uncultured bacterium. RNAcentral's name for it is "partial 16S ribosomal RNA". It matches the Rfam family "Bacterial small subunit ribosomal RNA", at positions 524 to 776 of the family's 1533-position model. The record is from RNAcentral.